This 87-nucleotide transfer RNA is filed under the name Alienimonas californiensis. Its description in RNAcentral is "Planctomycetes bacterium CA12 tRNA-Val". Lineage: Bacteria; Pseudomonadati; Planctomycetota; Planctomycetia; Planctomycetales; Planctomycetaceae. The record is from RNAcentral.
GGGGGCGUUCGGGGGGACGGCCUCGCCGUUCACCGCGGUGCCGUUGCGGCUGUCGAGGUCGCGGACGUGCCAACGCCCCGCCCCCUC